Non-coding RNA from Theobroma umbraticum, 3926 nucleotides. The record is from RefSeq and is a predicted model, not a curated record. Lineage: Eukaryota; Viridiplantae; Streptophyta; Magnoliopsida; Malvales; Malvaceae.
UUUAAUAAUUAAUAUAUCAAUACUUUGAAAUUCUUCCGUAAUGCCGCUAUUAUUCUUUCUGUUGUUGCCAUUUGUGGUGUGCUUUUGAUUGUUGACAUGAUUUCCAGAACGGCGCACAAGUUUCAGAUUAAUUGCAAAUUUUUGUUGAAGUCGGUCAAUAUGUUCUGGAAUCGCAAAUCUUCAGCCGAAAAUAGAUCAGAUAUUAUAAUUUACAGGAGACACCAAUUUGGGCUGCCCUGCUCUUGCUAGAUAUGGCUGAGUUCCUGAGUCAGAUAAAUUUUAAGCAAUCACAUCUAUGACAAACCUCGCAGCACGUUGCUUUGUUCCUUGAGAAACCUCUACCGCCAGGUUUUGCCAAUUCAGCAUGACGAGCGUGUAAAAUGGUAAAAGGAAAAAAAAAAAAAAAAGAGUUCUUUAUUCAAUUUUCUUUUGAAAUAUGAAAAAGGUGGCUGAAACUCUUCAACUCUUUCAAAAUGUAAAGACUUUUUUUAUCUGAUUAUUCUUCAUAGCUUGUGAAUAAUAGUGCUGUACUCCUCUCUCUUUAUUGCUUGAAAGACCUGAUUUGAGUGUUGUAUAGGUUAUUUUUCAGUGUUCUUUUGUGAAGGAAUCUGAAGUUCCUCUUUCUUGUUUUCAAUUUCUAGUCCUUAACAGUUCCCUCCAAAAACUGUGUUGAGAUAUUUGUAGUUUGUCAAACUUAUAUAUUCAACUGCUGCAGCAUGUUACCUGUAGAAGGGCAGUCGUUUGUCAGAAAACAACUGUUAUGCGCUUUAUUUAUAAUUAUGAAUUCAAGUUGCAUAUAAAAAAAGUUGAUUAAUUUCGUUGGGACAUAUUGUAAGGUUGCUCUUGAAGAUUCUCAACCUUGUGGAUAAGAGAUGAAGGAUGUAUCAUCUGAUGAUAAAACAUAGUUUCAUUCUAUUGGAAGAAUUACAACAGCAACAAACAGAGACUCUUCCCACUUUUUGUUUGUGGCAUUUGGAUUUAGUUGUCUUGUGUAUGAUUGGGAAAAUUCUUGUUUUGUUUGUAUUACAUGUUUCAUGGCAAAGUUAGGACUCCUCUAAUUGUGUUUGCUAUCGUGGUGAAAGAAGCAGUUUCUCUGGUGUUUUGCAGACUUUGAUUUGAGUCUUCGUGUUCUUUCUACUUCCUAGUCACUAAUGAAGUAUAGUUUCCUUUUGGCGCUGAGCAAAAGGUGGAAAAGCUUUCUGAUGUUACUAAAAAGUUAAUGUAUAGUUUCUCUGCCAACAGAGAAGUAGUGCAAUAUUUGUAUUGCUAAUGCCGCUUUCUUAAUUACUUCUUUCCCUCAGAUAUGUGAUCUCAGUGUUGGAAUUUUUCUAACAAUUCUAGAUGUUGCAGUGAUCACUUGGUAGCAAAUCUCACGAAAAUGAAGGGUGUAAUCCUCAUUUCCUCAUAUAACAAGUAUUAAAACAUACCCACCAGACGUGCUAUAUCCUUUAUACUUUAUUGGUAAGGAAAAGACAUCUGCUGGGCUUCUUGUUGAUUCUAUUAUCAUGAUUCUUUCCAGUGCACUGCCUCUAAAGAUACCAAUAGUAGAAAGGAGAGCGACAGGCCCUGAAGCAUUUAUUUAAGGAAAGCGCAAGUACCUGUUAUUACAAUAGAAUUUGCACAUAUACAGUUGUGUGCUCUGCUGAUACAUCUUGCUUAUGAUUCGUGAAAUAGGUGGACAAGGAAACAUCAUAUCAACACAUUUCUAGCAGUUUUAGGCGGGUCGUGAUGUUAUAAUAGCAUGAGCGGAUAUCCUUUGUUGGAAAUUAAAAUUUUUUGGCGAGAAAUCUGAAGAGGAGCCCAUACAAAAAGAAGUUUGAAGUUUGGUGGAAAUCACACCUAGCUUCUUCUUUGAAGGCUCUUGAUCAUUAAUCUCUUUGCAAGUAACCUGACCACAGAUAAAUUGCGGUGCCCCAGUCAGCAAGCAGAAUGUGAGCUUGUUAAAAGAAGCUUAUGUCCAAAUUUAGCUGCGGUUACAUACUGGAUACUGAACCAAAUAAAUGCAUGGUAACCGGGCCGGGCAUGAUAGAUUAAUGGGAAAAAUGGAAUUUUCUCAACUUGUUAUCCCCCAGUGGCAUCAUGUAAGCAUAUUCGAUAUGAAACUAAACAAAUUCAGGCACUUGGAUGCUCUAUUUGGCAGUAAAUGUUAAGCCUGUCCUGACUGAACAAGCAAGCCUUGUGGAUGGAAUAAUUUAAGGAUGGUAACUAUAAACAAUUGACAGAUUACUGUAACCCUGCAAUCGUACCAGAAGCUGAAUCAGUGAUGCCUGUAGUCCUAUGCUUAAGGACUAUUGGCAUGCUUUGUAGGUUUUGAUAUGCCACUUACGUUUUGGAGUACGUAAUCAAGUCUCGUAACAGGAGUAUACUUGCGGAAUAUAAUUACUAGUCUCUAUAUUGUUACAAGCGUACAAGGUAUGGGGAAAAGAUGAGAUGAAAAAUGAGGGAGAUGUGUGUCUUUGUCCGCUGGCGCUGUUCAAACUAGAAAUCCUGUUACGGGGUGUAAGCGAGGCUGGCUCAAACAAAGCCAAGUUCUGCUUUAAUCUUACCUCUCAGCAGUAGAAGCUACAUGACCAUACAUAUUUGGUGUGCGAUGCAAUUGGGUCUGUCUUGCAGAGCUUCCAGUGGAAACAGAUUCCUCCGAAGUCUUAUUGAGAUUGUUUCUCUCCUAGAACAAACCCUCAAUGUGAAGUGGUCAGGAUGAUGAAGGGCUAAAAGCCUUGAAACACUGUAUCCUUCUCUAUCACUAGUCGAGAUCUUGACCCUGAUGGUCAUGCCUUGGCUCACUUUAUUUUGAGCACAAAAUUUGAUAAUGAUGGCUUGAUGAGCAAGUGAGCCACAUGCUUUUGUGCAUAAUUUCUUCUAGUCAACUAAUUUUCACCAAGCUGGCGUUGGGGGAUGGAGCCAACAAAGGGUGGUUGAAGAUGACAAUGGCAAAGGACCCAUCAUCCAUGUAUCAUGUAUGCAGUUGUAGAUCAACAGCUGCCCCUGACCGCUCACAGCUCAGAAGCGCUGUAAUGAGGAGAUCCUGUUGAAGCGGAUAAAGGGGAAGAGUUAGGCACUUAGGCGGAAGGAAAUAGGGCGUGGACCCUACACAGGCAACGAGUCUGUCCGCCAUUUAUAUUUGUUUCUAGUUUGGAUUGUGGUAUGGCCAAACUCUACCUAACACACGUGAAUGCCCUAGCGCAUAUUUUUGUUGGUAUUAGGUCCAGUUUUGAUUAAGGCAAAGGGAAAUGGGCACCCAAAGGAAAAGCACAAUUGGGCAUGGGCUGCCUCUGCGUUGCUACUAGUUCUAACCAGUAGCCGCCUUCCUCUUUCCUUGGAUCCCAUCUCGGCCUCACGCCUCCUGUACCUCGCUACGAGUUUCUUUAUUUUAUUUUAUUUUAUAUUUAUUAUCAUCCAUAAACGAUAAUUCCAUCAUUCCAUAUCUCCCACUGGUGGAUUUUUCCUAUUGUAUACUAUAUUUUAUGGGGAACAACCAAGUGAUCCAAUAUAGAAAGUAGAUUUCUUUAUUAAAUGAAGCCACAGCCCACAAGACUUGAUUCAAUAAACAAUUAUAGAAAGCCAAUGAUAACAUAACUGCCACUGUUAUCCUUGUUUUGGAAACCCAUGCUGCUUAUUUUAUUAUAUCUUCGUGUUGGAGGAUGCCAAUUGCAUGCCACCACGAAAUCGUGUAAUUAUUAUAUUAUUAUUUUAUGUUAUCAUGGUGGUCCCUGCUAGCUGGUAAUGGUAAAGUGCUAGUCUUUCAAGGCGGUGGUCGAGUUUUUUUGUGCGUUGCUUCUAUAAUGAGAUUGGAGAUGGAUUCUGGGUUUACUGGCCGAGCUUGGGAUUCUCAUUUCCAAGCUCUUCUGCGAACUACCUCUUCUUCUUCCCAUCACAGUUACAGAUAGCAGUUGUCCUUUUGCUUCCUCUGCUCGUAUCAACAAAGG